GUUCCCAGUGAUGCUAUUUUUUGAACCAUGCUAAUGCUGAUUAUUAUUUGAUUGAAAAUCUUAAUUCGAUUCUUUUUCUGAGGGAACA
Small nucleolar RNA from Mercurialis annua (annual mercury), 88 nucleotides. RefSeq annotates it as small nucleolar RNA snoR53Y. Lineage: Eukaryota; Viridiplantae; Streptophyta; Magnoliopsida; Malpighiales; Euphorbiaceae. The transcript has a single exon. The record is from RefSeq and is a predicted model, not a curated record.